This 774-nucleotide ribosomal RNA is filed under the name uncultured Neocallimastigales. RNAcentral describes it as "partial large subunit ribosomal RNA". It matches the Rfam family "Eukaryotic large subunit ribosomal RNA", at positions 24 to 618 of the family's 3401-position model. The record is from RNAcentral. Lineage: Eukaryota; Fungi; Neocallimastigomycota; Neocallimastigomycetes; Neocallimastigales.
UAUCUCUGUAGAGUCUGCAUAUCAAUAAGCGGAGGAAAAGAAACUAACUAGGAUUCCCUCAGUAACGGCGAGUGAAGCGGGAAGAGCUCAAAUUUGAAAUCUUCAAGGUUCUACCUUGACGAAUUGUAGUUUAAAGAAGUGUUUUCUGUUGAAGUUUUGGUAAAAGUUCUUUGGAAUAGGACAUCAUAGAGGGUGAGAAUCCCGUAUUUGACCAGUUAUUUCCAGCUGUGUGAUACACUUUCAAAGAGUCGGAUUGUUUGGGAAUGCAGUCCAAAAUGGGUGGUAAAUUUCAUCUAAAGCUAAAUAUUGGCGAGAGACCGAUAGCGAACAAGUACCGUGAGGGAAAGAUGAAAAGAACUUUGAAAAGAGAGUUAAACAGUACGUGAAAUUGUCAAAAGGGAAGCGCUUGACACCAGUGUUGUUUCUACGAAAAUCAAUUUAUGAUGGCUUGAUGCUAAGCUUUAAGACUUUAUCCGCUUGUUGUUUAGUUUUCUUGUCUUUGUGAAUGCACUUUUCGUGGAACAAGUCAACAUCAAUUUCUUUUGCUGUAAAAGGGUAAGAGGAAGGUGGCUUCGGCUUCGGUUGAAGUGUUUAUAGCCUUUUAUCUCUGCAGUCGGAGAGAUUGAGGUCUGCAGCGUAGACUCUUCGGGGUUAGAUACGUCGGUGCUAAGCUAUAGCUUUUCAUAGACAACUUGUUGACUAUGUUUAGUCAUGUGGCUUACCCGCUGGCGCUAUUUUACCUACGCUUAGGAUGUUGAGUCAUCACACAUCUCU